GGCGCAAGCCUGAUGCAGCAACGCCGCGUGAGGGACGACGGCCUUCGGGUUGUAAACCUCUUUUAGCAGGGAAGAAGCGAGAGUGACGGUACCUGCAGAAAAAGCACCGGCUAACUACGUGCCAGCAGCCGCGGUAAUACGUAGGGUGCAAGCGUUGUCCGGAAUUAUUGGGCGUAAAGAGCUCGUAGGCGGUCUGUCGCGUCUGCUGUGAAAACCCGAGGCUCAACCUCGGGCUUGCAGUGGGUACGGGCAGACUAGAGUGCGGUAGGGGAGAUUGGAAUUCCUGGUGUAGCGGUGGAAUGCGCAGAUAUCAGGAGGAACACCGAUGGCGAAGGCAGAUCUCUGGGCCGUAACUGACGCUGAGGAGCGAAAGCGUGGGGAGCAAACAGGCUUAGAUACCCUGGUAGUCCACGCCGUAAACGUUGGGAACUAGAUGUGGGGACCAUUCCACGGUCUCCGUGUCGUAGCUAACGCAUUAAGUUCCCCGCCUGGGGAGUACGGCCGCAAGGCUAAAACUCAAAGGAAUUGACGGGGGCCCGCACAAGCGGCGGAGCAUGCGGAUUAAUUCGAUGCAACGCGAAGAACCUUACCAAGGCUUGACAUAUACGAGAACGCGCUGGAGACAGCGAACUCUUUGGACACUCGUAUACAGGUGGUGCAUGGUUGUCGUCAGCUCGUGUCGUGAGAUGUUGGGUUAAG
Molecule: ribosomal RNA, 699 nt
Filed under: Agrococcus sp. HZBC70
Lineage: Bacteria; Bacillati; Actinomycetota; Actinomycetes; Micrococcales; Microbacteriaceae
Description: bacterial SSU rRNA
Rfam family: Bacterial small subunit ribosomal RNA
Source: RNAcentral